This 495-nucleotide ribosomal RNA is filed under the name uncultured bacterium. Its description in RNAcentral is "partial 16S ribosomal RNA". It matches the Rfam family "Bacterial small subunit ribosomal RNA", at positions 28 to 507 of the family's 1533-position model. The record is from RNAcentral.
GACGAACGCUGGCGGCGUGCCUAAUACAUGCAAGUCGAACGCUGAAGGAGGAGCUUGCUUCUCUGGAUGAGUUGCGAACGGGUGAGUAACGCGUAGGUAACCUGCCUGGUAGCGGGGGAUAACUAUUGGAAACGAUAGCUAAUACCGCAUAAGAGUAGAUGUUGCAUGACAUUUGCUUAAAAGGUGCAAUUGCAUCACUACCAGAUGGACCUGCGUUGUAUUAGCUAGUUGGUGGGGUAACGGCUUACCAAGGCGACGAUACAUAGCCGACCUGAGAGGGUGAUCGGCCACACUGGGACUGAGACACGGCCCAGACUCCUACGGGAGGCAGCAGUAGGGAAUCUUCGGCAAUGGACGGAAGUCUGACCGAGCAACGCCGCGUGAGUGAAGAAGGGUUUCGGAUCGUAAAGCUCUGUUGUAAGAGAAGAACGAGUGUGAGAGUGGAAAGUUCACACUGUGACGGUACCUUACCAGAAAGGGACGGCUAACUACGUG